Molecule: ribosomal RNA, 443 nt
Filed under: uncultured bacterium
Lineage: Bacteria
Description: partial 16S ribosomal RNA
Rfam family: Bacterial small subunit ribosomal RNA
Source: RNAcentral
CCUACGGGAGGCAGCAGUGGGGAAUAUUGGGCAAUGGGCGCAAGCCUGACCCAGCAACGCCGCGUGAAGGAAGAAGGCCUUCGGGUUGUAAACUUCUUUUGUCAGGGACGAAGCAAGUGACGGUACCUGACGAAUAAGUUACCGCUAACUCCGGGCCAGCAGCCGGGGUAAUACGUAGGUGGCAAGCGUUAACCGGAUUGAUUGGGUGCAAAGGGCGGGUAGGCGGGAAGUCAAGUCCGAGGUGAAAACUACGGGCUCAACCCAUAGACUGCAUUUGAAACUGUAAGUCUUGAGUGUUGGAGAGGCAAGCGGAAUUCCGGGUGUAGCGGUGAAAUGCGUAGAUAUACGGAGGAACACCAGUGGCGAAGGCGGAUGGCUGGACAGUAACUGACGCUGAGGAGCGAAAGCGUGGGGAGCAAACAGGAUUAGAUACCCUAGUAGUC